This 324-nucleotide ribosomal RNA is filed under the name Triticum aestivum (bread wheat). RNAcentral's name for it is "partial small subunit ribosomal RNA". Lineage: Eukaryota; Viridiplantae; Streptophyta; Magnoliopsida; Poales; Poaceae. The record is from RNAcentral.
AUGUGGGGAGGGAGAGACACUAUUCGGCUAUUAUACGUUAGAUUAGAAACGGAUCAACAUGAGGAAAAAGAGAAGAUUGAAGAUGAAGAGGCAGCCGGAGAAAAUAUUUGUUCAUGUGCAAUGAGGAGAUAUAAUGGGAGCGCUGGCCGUGGACGGAUGUCUGUAGGUAGCGGAAUCUUUUUACGUGGGAAGAGAAAGGCUGUUGGGCUCUUACUAUUGGAAACGGAAGCACUAAUGACUGUUACUCUUCGGAUCACCAUUGAGGCUGUUCGUUUCUGCUUGCGCAUGUAUUCAAGGAAGCUGCUGACGUGGCUUGUAGGCUGA